UAACAUUGAGUAUUUGAAAAUAUAUGAAAUAUUUUGUGAAUAUUUCCAAUAUAUUCCGUAUAUUUGUAUUUGCAGAUUUUAUUUGCAGAAUAAUAAUGAGUAUUAGAUUUAUAAAUAUUUGCAAAAAAUCUUUCUUGAAUAAUUGCAGUCAAAUAUAACAUAAAUAUAAAAUUAUCGAAUGAUAAAUUUCCAUUUAAAUGUUUGUGAAAUGUUUGGCGAAUAUUUUGGUAGAAAUAUAACGGUUUCGCUUCUUGACCGCUGUGGCGCUGCUGGCGCAGUUAUCGGCUUUGUUUUUGUUUCAAAGCAAUUAGGAUUGGGAGUCGCGAAUUUUGUAUUCCGUCAAAUUUAAACACUUUUCAAAGUGAAAAUGCAGCUCGACUCCGUCCAAAUCCACCUCUACUAUGAAAUUAAGCUCGAUUUAUGUAUGCAAAAACACGCCAGAGCGGUCUGUGAAAUUCGACGUGCAAGAGCAGCAAAAACCGGUCGCCUUUUUCACAAAUUAAACGGCCGGCGGCCGCGCGAUGCCCAAAGCUGAAGAUGGAUCAAGUUUGAAAUUACCCCGGCCGUUUCCCAGCCUUGCACAAUCAUCCUUGAAGGAAGAGCCUGGAAUUUUGCAAAUGUCGGGGUCGGACAACAGGAUCCAGAAUUUUCCAGGGAUCAUUGCGAGACUGGAAACAGAGCAGCGCGCCUCUGUUCUGAACUUAAUUUGUUUUGGACACAUCACAAAAUGCAAUUUGUGGACGUGCCGGAGUGGUGGCUUUUUGGAAUCUGGCAGUUACACACAAGAAAACGUCAGACUGUGGUUCGUCUAACAAUAAGUAAAAAAUAUAUAAAAUGCUAAUAUUAUUAUUUUUAUUAUUAAUAUUGAACUUGACUAAACCAAUUUCUACAUUUUGUAACAAAUUUCAUGGUUAUGAUACAAAAAUACCUUUGAUAAAUGAUAAAAUCUGGUACAAACUAAAUUUUGAAAUCUAAAUUUCAAAUUGAAUUGCGCCUUACUAAUAUUUGAAAAUGAGAAAUUUUACUCGAGCAAAUCACUGGUCUUUCUCUGCACACAAAGAAAAAAAAUGUUAUGCAGUGAAAAUUUAUUUAUCAUUAAAUUUUAAAAUUAGUCACUUGUAUUUAAAAUUCUGUCAUUGUACUGUACAGCAAUCAUAGUUUUUGGGCAAGUUUGUGCCUCGUCCACAAACGGCACAAACUCUUCAAGUUGUUUCAUUUAAGCAGCAUUUUGUAAUUAUAUGGAUUAGUCAAAAGAAUAAGUUGAAAUUUCAAUACACACAAAUAGGAAAAGCAGCCAAGCGGACAUAUUUUGGUUGGUAAAAAAUUAUUGCAUUAUUUUUUAGCAAUUUUUAGGACAUUCUUGUGAUUAUUUGAAAAAAAAGAUGAAUCAGCAGUUUUUAUUGUGAUCCUUUAAAUAAAAGGGCCCCUGAAGUCAACCUUUUUAUGGUUUUAACCUAUUCGAUUGAGCAGUCCGAACGAAACAUUUGCCUGGGGUGACCGAAAAUUUGGAGUUCGUAUCGGCUCUAUCGGCAAUUAAAAUAAAUGGGCGUCGGACUCUCU
This is a long non-coding RNA of Neocloeon triangulifer, 1560 nucleotides long. RefSeq lists it as uncharacterized. The record is from RefSeq and is a predicted model, not a curated record. NCBI's taxonomy places the organism in Eukaryota, Metazoa, Arthropoda, Insecta, Ephemeroptera, Baetidae. The transcript has 3 exons.